AAGUCGUAACAAGGUUUCCGUAGGUGAACCUGCGGAAGGAUCAUUAUUGAAGCUCGGAAUGCAUGUCCGGUGUUGAUGCUGCCCAGCAAUGGGAUGUGCUCGCUCGGACGUGUGUCCCUUCUCUAUUCCACCCCUUUGUGAACCAAGUGUGCGAGCCGAAGAGAGAUCGGAAGCUCGCAUGCAAACCUUAACAUACCCCAAUGAAGUAUCAGAAUGUAACUUGCGUUAACUCGCACAAAUAUAACUUUCAACAACGGAUCUCUUGGCUCUC
This 271-nucleotide unclassified non-coding RNA is filed under the name Peniophora incarnata. RNAcentral describes it as "partial internal transcribed spacer region". The stretch from base 1 to 46 matches the Rfam family "Eukaryotic small subunit ribosomal RNA", at positions 1786 to 1831 of the family's 1831-position model. The record is from RNAcentral. Lineage: Eukaryota; Fungi; Basidiomycota; Agaricomycetes; Russulales; Peniophoraceae.